Long non-coding RNA from Ictalurus punctatus (channel catfish), 2301 nucleotides. NCBI's taxonomy places the organism in Eukaryota, Metazoa, Chordata, Actinopteri, Siluriformes, Ictaluridae. The record is from Ensembl.
GACACUAGAUAUUGUUUUUUGCAGGUAAAACCUGAAAGCAUUCAUUAUGUGUUUUGAAAGUGACUUGUAAUGUAAUGUGUUCCUUUCUUUACUAACAUACAUCUUCCUGUAACAAUUUUUUUUGUUGAAAAACUAAUGUUUGGAAAACUUUUCUUACUGACUUAAUGCACACAGUAAUCAUCUAAGCCAAAAUUUGUACUUAGAAACAAAUAAGACAAGUCAUUCAAUAAAGAAGAACUACAGAUAUAUAAAAGAAGGAUGAGCUGUAAUUGACCUAUUGAGUGCAUCCGGAAAGUAUUCACAGCGCUUCACUUUUUCCACAUUUUGUUAUGUUACAGCUUUAUUCCAAGAUGGAUUAAAUUGAUUAUUUUCCUCAAAAUUCUACAAACAAUAACCCAUAAUGACAACGUGAAAUAAGUUUGGUUGAAAUCUUUGCAAAUUUAUUAAAAAUAAAAAACAAAAAAGCACAUGUACAUAAGUAUUCACAGCCUUUGCUCAAUACUUUGUUGAAGUACCUUUGGCACCAAUUACAGCCUCCAGUCUUUUUGAGUAUGAUGCUACAAGCUUGGCACACCUAUUUUUGGGCAGUUUCUCCUAUUCUUCUUUGCAGGACCUCUCAAGCUCCAUCAGGUUGGAUGGGGAACGUCGGUGCACAGCCAUUUUCAUUGUUCAAUCGGGUUCAAGUCUGGGCUUUGGCUGGGCCACUCAAGGACAUUCACAAAGUUGUCUUGUAGCCACUCCUUUGUUAUCUUGUCUGUGUGCUUAUGGUCAUUAUCCUGUUGAAUGAUCAACCUUCGCCCUAGUCUGAGGUCCAAAGCGCUCUGGAACAGGUUUUCAUCAAGGAUGUCUCUGUACAUUGCUGCAUUCAUUUUUCCCUCGAUCCUGACUAGUCUCCCAGUUCCUGCCGCUGAAAAACAUCCCCACAGCAUGAUGCUUCCACCACCAUGCUUCACUGUAGGGAAUAUUAUUGGGCAGGUGAUGAGUGGUACCUGGUUUCCUCCAGACAUGACGCUUGCCAUUCAGGCCAAAGAGUUCAAUCUUUGUUUCAUCAGACCAGAGAAUUUUGUUUCUCAUGGUCUGAGAGUCCUUCAGGUGCCUUUUGGCAAACUCCAUUCAGGCUGUGGCUUCUGUCUGGCCACUGUACCAUACAGGCCUGAUUGGUGGAGUGCUGCAGAGAUAGGUGUUCUUCUGGAAGUUUCUCCUCUCUCCACAGAAACACGCUGGAGCUCUGUCAGAGUGACCGUUGGGUUUUUGGUCACCUCCCUGACAAACGCCCUUCUCCUCUGAUCGCACAGUUUGGCCGGGCGGCCAGCUCUAGGAAGAGUGCUGGUGGUUCCAAACUUCUUCCGUUUACGGAUGAUAGAGGCCACUGUGCUCGUUGGGACCUUCAAUGCUGCAGAAAUGUUUCUGUACCCUUCCCCAGAUCUGAGCCUCGAUACAAUACUGUCUCUGAGGUCUACAGACAAUUCCUUGGACUUUAUGGCUUGGUUUGUGCCUUUCCAAAACAUGUCCAAUCAACUGAAUUUACCAUAGGUAAUUUGAAACGACAUAUGUGAAUACAUAUGUACAUGUGCUUUUUUUUGCUUAUUUAUUUUUAAUAAAUUUGCAAAGAUUUCAAACAAACGUCUUUCAUGUUGUCAUUAUGGGGUAUUAUAGAAUUUUGAGGAAAAUAAUGAAUUUAAUCCAUUUUGGAAUAAGGCUGUAACAUAACAAAAUGUGGAAAAAGUGAAGUGCUGUGAAUACUUUCCGGAUGCACUGUAAGUAGCUGAUCUGGUAUGUCUCAAGCUCCAAUGUGCCAUAUACAUUGGUGUUUGAAAGUUUGUAAAUUUUCUAUAUUUCUGCAUAAAUGUGACCUAAAAUAACAUCAGAUUUUCACACAAGUCCUAAAGGUAGAUAAAGAGAAUCCAAUUAAACAAAUGAGAUAAAAAUAUUAUAUUUGGUCAUUUACUUAUCGAGGAAAAUACAUUAUAUAUCUGUGAGUGGCAUAGUAUGUGAACCUUUGCUUUCAGUAUGUGGUGUGACCCCCUUGUGCAGCAGUAAUUGCAGAUAAACCUUUGGGGUAACUGUUAAUCAGUCCUGCACAUCGACUUGGAGGAAUUUUAGCCCGUUUCUCAGUUCAGAACAGCUUCAUCUCUGGGAUGUUGGUGGGUUUCCUCACAUGACCUGCUUACUUCAGGUCCUUCCACAGCAUUUCUAUUGGAUUAAGGUCAGGACUUUGACUUGGCCAUUCCAAAACAUUAACUUUCUUCUUCUUUAACCAUUCUUUGGUAGAAUGACUUAAAAGAAAAUUCUAAAGGGUGC